RNAcentral lists this ribosomal RNA (253 nucleotides) under uncultured bacterium. RNAcentral's name for it is "partial 16S ribosomal RNA". It matches the Rfam family "Bacterial small subunit ribosomal RNA", at positions 524 to 776 of the family's 1533-position model. The record is from RNAcentral.
UACAGAGGUGGCAAGCGUUGUUCGGAAUUACUGGGCGUAAAGGGCGCGUAGGCGGCCUUCUAAGUCAGACGUGAAAUCCCCCGGCUUAACCUGGGAACUGCGUCUGAUACUGGGAGGCUUGAGUAUGGUAGAGGGAUGUAGAAUUCCAGGUGUAGCGGUGAAAUGCGUAGAUAUCUGGAGGAAUACCGAUGGCGAAGGCAGCCCCCUGGGAUAACACUGACGCUCAUGCACGAAAGCGUGGGGAGCAAACAGG